CGGAUGAAUUGCGAACGGGUGAGUAACGCGUAGGUAACCUGCCUCUUAGCGGGGGAUAACUAUUGGAAACGAUAGCUAAUACCGCAUAAAAGACGAUAUCGCAUAAUAUUGAUUUGAAAGGUGCAAUUGCAUCACUAAGAGAUGGACCUGCGUUGUAUUAGCUAGUUGGUGAGGUAACGGCUCACCAAGGCGACGAUACAUAGCCGACCUGAGAGGGUGAUCGGCCACACUGGGACUGAGACACGGCCCAGACUCCUACGGGAGGCAGCAGUAGGGAAUCUUCGGCAAUGGGGGCAACCCUGACCGAGCAACGCCGCGUGAGUGAAGAAGGUUUUCGGAUCGUAAAGCUCUGUUGUAAGAGAAGAACGAGUGUGAGAGUGGAAAGUUCACACUGCGACGGUAACUUACCAGAAAGGGACGGCUAACUACGUGCCAGCAGCCGCGGUAAUACGUAGGUCCCGAGCGUUAUCCGGAUUUAUUGGGCGUAAAGCGAGCGCAGGCGGUUAGAUAAGUCUGAAGUUAAAGGCUGUGGCUUAACCAUAGUACGCUUUGGAAACUGUUUAACUUGAGUGCAGAAGGGGAGAGUGGAAUUCCAUGUGUAGCGGUGAAAUGCGCAGAUAUAUGGAGGAACACCGGAGGCGA
This 642-nucleotide ribosomal RNA is filed under the name uncultured Bacilli bacterium. RNAcentral's name for it is "bacterial SSU rRNA". It matches the Rfam family "Bacterial small subunit ribosomal RNA", at positions 88 to 718 of the family's 1533-position model. The record is from RNAcentral. Lineage: Bacteria; Bacillati; Bacillota; Bacilli.